GCAGCAGUAGCGUAGUGGUUACGCACCACCUUGCCAAGGUGGCCUACACGAGUUCGAAUCUCGCCUGCUGCU
RNAcentral lists this transfer RNA (72 nucleotides) under bacterium. RNAcentral describes it as "tRNA-Gly". It matches the Rfam family "tRNA". Rfam says of the family: Transfer RNA (tRNA) molecules are approximately 80 nucleotides in length. RNAcentral also lists the same sequence under 3 other names. The record is from RNAcentral.